GGGGAAUAUUGCACAAUGGGGGAAACCCUGAUGCAGCGACGCCGCGUGAGUGAAGAAGCGCCUCGGCGCGUAAAGCUCUGUCAGCAGGAACGACGAUGACGGUACCUGAAGAAGAAGCCCCGGCUAACUACGUGCCAGCAGCCGCGGUAAUACGUAGGGGGCAAGCGUUAUCCGGAUUUACUGGGUGUAAAGGGAGCGUAGACGGUUAUGCAAGUCUGGAGUGAAAGCCCAGGGCUCAACCCCGGGACUGCUUUGGAAACUGUAAAACUGGAGUGCAGGAGAGGCAGGCGGAAUUCCUAGUGUAGCGGUGAAAUGCGUAGAUAUUAGGAGGAACACCAGUGGCGAAGGCGGCCUGCUGGACUGUAACUGACGUUGAGGCUCGAAGGCGUGGGGAGCAAACAG
Molecule: ribosomal RNA, 402 nt
Filed under: uncultured bacterium
Lineage: Bacteria
Description: bacterial SSU rRNA
Rfam family: Bacterial small subunit ribosomal RNA
Source: RNAcentral